CCGUCGUGCUGGGGAUAGAGCAUUGUAAUUAUUGCUCUUCAACGAGGAAUUCCUAGUAAGCGCAAGUCAUCAGCUUGCGUUGAUUACGUCCCUGCCCUUUGUACACACCGCCCGUCGCUAGUACCGAUUGAAUGGCUUAGUGAGGCCUC
RNAcentral lists this ribosomal RNA (149 nucleotides) under Collinsella sp. BIOML-A1. Its description in RNAcentral is "partial 16S ribosomal RNA". It matches the Rfam family "Eukaryotic small subunit ribosomal RNA", at positions 1562 to 1710 of the family's 1831-position model. Lineage: Bacteria; Bacillati; Actinomycetota; Coriobacteriia; Coriobacteriales; Coriobacteriaceae. The record is from RNAcentral.